RNAcentral lists this long non-coding RNA (564 nucleotides) under Triticum aestivum (bread wheat). RNAcentral describes it as "long non-coding RNA (TAES_LNC004141)". The record is from RNAcentral. Lineage: Eukaryota; Viridiplantae; Streptophyta; Magnoliopsida; Poales; Poaceae.
UAACGAUGAUAAAAACCAUUUCAGAAAUUACUCAAGUAGCAGUGUCGCACCAGUUAUCAAGCACAAGUUUCCAGCAAGAAAAUAAAAAAUCAAGCACAAGCUGAAGCAGUGGUCCGAUACUCCCAUCAGAAAUCAGAACGAUCAUGUUUCUUCUGCCCUUGAUAAUUUACACGUACGGCACAUUCGUACUCUCAUACUUUUCCCCGGUAAAAUUCACACAGCACAUGAUGCUGCAUCGCGCGCAUCGCACGCAGCUGAUCCAUCAACAGCCGACGGCGGCGGACGGGCAAUCAACGGCCAGCUCACAGGCUGGGCACCCUCUCGGCGGCGCCGGAGAUGACGGUGAGCAGGUUGUUGCCGAAGGGGUCGCUGAGGUGCGCGCACAGGUUCUCAAAGGGGCCCUCGCCGGUGACGUAGGCCUGGAUGAAGAAGCCCAGCAUGGAGAACAUGGCCAGCCGUCCGUUCUUGAUCUCCUUCACCUUGAGCAGCGCCGCCUGGUCGGGGUCGGUGGCGAGGCCGAGCGGGUCGAAUGGGCCACCGGGGUGGAGCUUGUCAUCAAAUUCC